CAGUCGCCGCGGGAAUACGAAGGGUGCAAGCGUUACUCAGAAUUACUGGGCGUAAAGCGUGCGUAGGCGGUUUGUUAAGUCUGUUGUGAAAUCCCCGGGCUCAACCUGGGAAUGGCAAUGGAUACUGGCAAGCUAGAGUGUGUCAGAGGAUGGUGGAAUUCCCGGUGUAGCGGUGAAAUGCGUAGAGAUCGGGAGGAACAUCAGUGGCGAAGGCGGCCAUCCGGGACAACACUGACGCUGAGGCACGAAAGCGUGGGGAGCAAACAGGAUUAGAUACCCCUGUAGUCCCUGUCUCUUAUAC
Molecule: ribosomal RNA, 301 nt
Filed under: uncultured bacterium
Lineage: Bacteria
Description: partial 16S ribosomal RNA
Rfam family: Bacterial small subunit ribosomal RNA
Source: RNAcentral